GGUCAAGUUAGAAAGGGCGUACGGUGAAUGCCCUGGCAUCAGGGGGCGAUGAAGGACGCGGCUGGCUGCGAAAAUUCACGGGGAACUGCGAGCGAGUUUAGAUCCGUGAGAUUCCGAAUGGGGCAACCCAUCCCGAGUAAAAUUGGGAUAUCAUGCACUGAAUAAAUAGGUGUAUGAGGUGAACCCGGGGAAGUGAAACAUCUCAGUACCCGGAGGAAAAGAAAUCUAUAGAGAUUCCCUCAGUAGCGGCGAGCGAAAGGGGAAGAGCCCAAACCGACCCUAACACAAAGAAUACAGCAUUCAGAAUACAGAAGUCAGAAUGGAGAAAAGCAACGGCAGUCAUUCUGGAUUCUGAAUACUGACUCCUGGAUUCUGUGUUUUGUGUGUUAGGGUCGGGGUUGUAGGACCGCAUAAGUAGGAACACUGUAAUAUAGCUGAAUGUUCUGGAAAGGACAUCCAAAGAGGGUGAUAGGCCUGUAAGCGAAAUGAUACAGAAACCGAAGCGGUAUCCUGAGUACCACAGGACACGUGGAAUCCUGUGGGAAGCUGGGGAGACCACUCUCCAAGGCUAAAUACCACCUGAUGACCGAUAGUGCACAAGUACCGUGAGGGAAAGGUGAAAAGAACCCCGGUGAGGGGAGUGAAAUAGAACCUGAAACCGUAUGCCUACAAGCAGUCAGAGCACCGCAAGGUGUGAUGGCGUGCCUUUUGAUUAAUGAGCCGGCGAGUUACUGGCUGCAGCAAGGUUAAGUCCUUAAGGGAUGGAGCCGCAGGGAAACCGAGUCUGAAUAGGGCGAAUUAGUUGCAGUCAGUAGACCCGAAGCCAGGUGAUCUACCCAUGGUCAGGGUGAAGGUGAAGUAAAAUUCACUGGAGGCCCGAACCGGUGUUUGUUGCAAAAAGCUCGGAUGAACUGUGGGUGGGGGUGAAAGGCCAAUCAAACCUGGUGAUAGCUGGUUCUCCCCGAAAUGCAUUUAGGUGCAGCCUCAGAGUAGUCUUGCGGGGGUAGGGCACUGGAUGGGCUAGGGCCUCGAAUGAGGUACCAAACCCAACCAAACCGCGAAUACCGUGUAGAUGUUCUCUGGGAGUGAGACUGCGGGUGCUAAGAUUCGUAGUCGAGAGGGAAACAGCCCAGACCGUCAGCUAAGGUCCCUAAGGGUGUGCUAAGUGGGAAAGGAUGUAGUGUUGCUUAAACAGCCAGGAUGUUGGCUUAGAAGCAGCCAUCAUUUAAAGAAAGCGUAAUAGCUCACUGGUCAAGCGACACUGCGCCGAAAAUUUAACGGGGCUAAGCACACUACCGAAGCUACGGAUUUAUCCCGACUUGUCGGGAUGAGUGGUAGGGGAGCAUUCUGCGGACCUGUGAAGGUGUGGCGUGAGCCAUGCUGGAGGGGGCAGAAGAGAUUAUGCCGGCAUAAGUAGCGCAAAUCCUGAUGAAAAGUCAGGACGCCGUAAACCUAAGGUUUCCUGGGGAAGGGAAAUCCGCCCAGGGUUAGUCGGUCCUAAGGCGAGGCCGAAAGGCGUAGCUGAUGGACAACUGGUUAAUAUUCCAGUACCGUCUUGUGUGCGUUUGACCGAAGGGGAGACGCAGUAGGAUAGUUUGAGCCUGGUGAUGGUUCAGGUCCAAGUGCUUAGGCUGAUAUGUAGGUAAAUCCGCAUAUCAUUAAGGCUGAGGUACGAUGGGGAAGUCCGUAAGGAUGAACUCAGGCGAUUCCACACUGACGAGAAAAACCUCGUAGGGAGUACACAGGAUGACCGUACCGCAAACCGACACUGGUAGGUGAGUAGAAGAUACUAAGGCGAUCGAGUUAACCCUCGCUAAGGAACUCGGCAAAAUAACCCCGUAACUUCGGGAGAAGGGGUCCCUCCGCAAGGAGGGCGCAGUGAAGA
Molecule: ribosomal RNA, 1885 nt
Filed under: Anaerolineales bacterium
Lineage: Bacteria; Bacillati; Chloroflexota; Anaerolineae; Anaerolineales
Description: partial 23S ribosomal RNA
Rfam family: Bacterial large subunit ribosomal RNA
Source: RNAcentral